GUGAGAGAGAGAAUCCCAAGCAGCCAGUCCCCAAUCCACAGUGCAGAGCCCAACACGAGGGUCGAAUCCAUGAACCGUGAGAUCAUGACCUGAGCUGAAGUCAAGAGUCAGCUGCUUAACUGACAGCCACCCAGACACCCCUCCUUCAGUCCCCAUCUUAUUUAACCCUUUCCUGACGUUCUCCCUUCUUUACCCUCCCCACACACACCCAGAACCCACUCCCUCCCUGCACGUAUUAUGUAGCACCAAGACGUCCAUUGCUCAGGCUCUGCUGUCUGUGAGUCUGGCCUUGCCUUUCCUGAUGAAAAACAAAAGAAGGGGAGUGAGAGAGAAGGAAGGAGUAUGGCGUUGUGGUUAAAUCCAUUGCUCUGAUGUCCAGCAAAAUUCAGACUCAGCCACUUACCAAAUGAGGGACUACGGUUACCUGCUACUCACUGGAGUUCAGAGAGAGGCAAUGGUGUGAAGCUGGUCGCGGCCAUCCAGACAGGUGUUCGCCAGCAUCAGCAUCACCUGGAUGCUUGUUACACCUGGGCUCCACCCCAGACCUAUGGAACCAGAAUCUCCAGGAAUCUGUAGCUUAACAACUUUCCAGGUGACUUUUAUGAACCCAGGUUUGAGAAGCAUGACUCCAUGAUCCCAGAUAGGCCUGAAGUCAUCCAUAGUGUAGGCAGUGAUAAGAUUGAUGAGAACACCCCAUCAUGUGCCUGAAAGGGUUUUGCAACACAUCAAACAACAUGAGCAUGGAAGAGAUUGUGAUUCUUAUCGCCACAUUUGUAAUAGGGUUUUUUAAAGGGAAAACAGCCAAGUCCUUGGCUUUCCUUCCCCUGCUCUUGGCAAAACCUCCUACUGCUCUAGGAGGAUUGCAAGAACAUUGACCCAGAAUUCCCUGCAUGUUUCCUGGGAAAAGCAAGCUAACUCUGACAGCUAAAACUGCUACACGGUGUAUCAUAAGAUCCCUGCUGCUCAGGCCCGACAGCUAUUCCCUCUGGUUUCUGGCCUGCACAGCUGGCCCACAACGGUGGGGCUUUCUGUGCCUUGGGAGCUUUCUGCUGAUGGAGGAUAGCUUCCAGGUAGCCCCAGGAUUUGAAUCAAGACCAGUAAGUGGGUAAAAGCUACAAAGAGUCGGGUUUCAUGCCCAAGUAAGGAAGAACUUUGCAGGGAUCAGAGCUGCCCCAAAGUGGCCUAAGCUUCCCUAGCAGGUGGCAAGUGAGAUCCCUGACCGAGGAGAUGGUCACUCACAGGCCAAUGACCCUUUGGUGGGGCUGUUUUAUCCUUUUUCUUCUUACCGAGGUCUAGGAGCAGUGUGCUCUGCCUGAUACCUGAGAAGCCUUCUCCAAAACAUCCCUAAAUCCCUUCUUUCAUUCAGCUGGUAUUUGCUCAUCACCUACCACAAGUCAGGCGCUGGCCUACACACUCAGGAUGAAGGGCCUUGCUCUCGGUUUAGACUAGGUGAACAAGGCAGGCCUCUUUGCACAAGUGAUGUUGUAGGCUGAGAUCUAGAUCACAAGCAAGAGCCAGAAGUGGGGAAAUUAUGUGGAUGAGCACAUCGGGCCAAGGGAACAACUGGUGUAAAGCAGGUCCUGAUGCAGGAGUCCUGGAGCACAGUCAGUAGGGGCAAACCCCAAGAGAAGGCAGGGAGACCAGAUCCUGUAUGGAAGGCCUUAUUAGCCAGCGUAUGGGGUUUGGAGGAGUUUUUCUUUUGUUUUUUCUUUCUCUACUGCAGCACUUAAACAGCCCUGCUGACUGCCAGCAUCAUUGAAAUUUCGUCGUUGAGCACCUACUUCCUGCUACAAACCUCAGGAAACCAAGGUCCUGUCCUCCCCCAACCAGCUGCUACUUCCUCUAAACACCGAGGAGCCUGGCCUUUGCUUUCAGCAUCUUUCUUCACUAAGUAUCAUUGAAAAACUUGGAUCUGACAGCCAACUGCUUACUUUCUGAUCCACCAGCUGGUUACAGAACCAACAUCCUUUUUCUUCUUUUAUCUGUCUUUUCCAUGUGAUGAAACACAGGUGCAGAGUGGAUACAGGUCCAAAUACAACCAGGAAAGAACAAACUCAAUCUCUCCAGGGGAGGGUGGUGGGUCAGGGGGGCGCCAAUGUAGCACAGUGGUUAAGGCACAGGGUCUGAGCCCAAAUACAGGUUCCUUCUCACUUGCCAGCUAUGUGACCUUAGGCAGGCCAUCUCUCAGAGCCUCAGUUUUGCCAUAUGUAAAAUAAAGAUAAUGAUAGUCCCUACUUCACGGGCCGGUGAGUACGGACUGAUAUUUUACAAGUAAAGAAUUAAGAGCAGAGGCUGAUUCUUAGUGAGUGCUUAAGAACCAUAAGGCCUUAUUUGGCCCAGUCAUUGGCUUUUUGUGAAUGUUAGCAUUUGUUCCACACCAAACGCAUAUUUGUUGAAUAUCUACUAUGGGCCAGGCAUUGUGCUAGGCAUGGUUUCACAGAAACAGCUUUGGUCUAGAAGUCAUACAACCUGACUCUUUUGCAAGGAGUCAGGUGACCAAGGAUCAGCCUCGUCAUCUCUGAAGUCCUCAGGUCUCUUGCCCCGAAAGGAGUGCACUGGGAUCACAUGACUUCUGAGGCUCUUCUGGUCCUGGCUUGACAGAGUGACUGUCCUCAGGAGGAUGCAGCCUUCAAUCCUGCCCAGAUGGGGCUGACCCCCCAGUCACUCACAUCCACUGGUCCCUGUGUGUGAGCACAUGCCCUGGAGAGAAGCAGGCCUGAUCACUGUCUUGUGUUCGCCAUAAAAUAUUGAUUAGGGAAUUUAAAAUUUCGAAAUGAUUUAGGAGCCCCGAGACGGGGACGUAAUGUGCUGUGCCCAGCUGCGUUAUGAGCCAUCUAUCUCCUGUCAGCAAGCAGCACGAUACUGACAGAAUCAAUACAAACGUGUCUGAAGAAAAGCUUAACUCAUUUCCUUUCUCCAGGGGCAGUGGUUGGAAUGGGUCAGCCUUGGGAGAUCAGCACUGAAGCUGGAGCCUAGACACCCAUCUGCCAGGUGCAGGGAAGGCAAGACUGUUCGGGUACUGGCUAUUUUCACUUUCUCCAUUGGCUGCUACAUGUAUCUCUGCUAAUACAUCAGGAAAAUUAAUAAAUCUAGAACUUACAUUCUCUCCUUUCCUUUUCUAAGGUUUUAAAUAGGAUCUCUGGGCUGUGUCCUGAAGGGAAAAUAAUAAUAAUAGCUACCAAGAAUCUUUAUUUAGCAUCAAGAAUCUUCUAAGAAUCAUCUUACUUCUCAGAGCCUCAGUUUCCCUAUUUGUGAAAGGAAGAGAAUGAUCACACCGUCUCACGGGGUUGAUGCCAGAUUAAAGCAGAGGCGCUGUGAUUGUACUUAAUGCCACUGACUUCUAUAUUCAAAAGUGGUUAGGGCACCUGGGUGGCUCAGUCAGUUAGGCAUCUGACUCGGUUUCUGCUCAGGUCAUGAUCUCAUCAUUCGUUAGAUCAAGCCCCGUGUUGGGCUCUGCACUGGUA
This is a long non-coding RNA of Panthera uncia (snow leopard), 3464 nucleotides long. RefSeq lists it as uncharacterized. NCBI's taxonomy places the organism in Eukaryota, Metazoa, Chordata, Mammalia, Carnivora, Felidae. The transcript is spliced from 5 exons. The record is from RefSeq and is a predicted model, not a curated record.